This 679-nucleotide ribosomal RNA is filed under the name uncultured archaeon. RNAcentral's name for it is "bacterial SSU rRNA". It matches the Rfam family "Archaeal small subunit ribosomal RNA", at positions 151 to 828 of the family's 1478-position model. The record is from RNAcentral.
UCCGGAUAACGCACAUAUGCUGGAAUGCUUUCUGCGUAAAAUGGAUUCGUCUGCCCAAGGAUGGGUCUGCGGCCUAUCAGGUAGUAGUGGGUGUAAUGUACCUACUAGCCUACGACGGGUACGGGUUGUGAGAGCAAGAGCCCGGAGAUGGAUUCUGAGACAUGAAUCCAGGCCCUACGGGGCGCAGCAGGCGCGAAAACUUUACAAUGCGGGAAACCGUGAUAAGGGGACACCGAGUGCCAGCAUCAUAUGCUGGCUGUCCAGGUGUGUAAAAUACACCUGUUAGCAAGGGCCGGGCAAGACCGGUGCCAGCCGCCGCGGUAACACCGGCGGCCCGAGUGGUGAUCGUGAUUAUUGGGUCUAAAGGGUCCGUAGCCGGUUUGGUCAGUCCUCCGGGAAAUCUGACAGCUUAACUGUUAGGCUUUCGGAGGAUACUGCCAGACUUGGAACCGGGAGAGGUAAGAGGUACUACAGGGGUAGGAGUGAAAUCUUGUAAUCCCUGUGAGACCACCUGUGGCGAAGGCGUCUUACCAGAACGGGUUCGACGGUGAGGGACGAAAGCUGGGGGCACGAACCGGAUUAGAUACCCGGGUAGUCCCAGCCGUAAACGAUGCUCGCUAGGUGUCAGGCAUGGCGCGACCGUGUCUGGUGCCGCAGGGAAGCCGUGAAGCGAGCCACC